UUUCUCUGUCCACAACUCUGCCAUCUGUCAUGAUGAUCACACUCCUCAUCAGGCUCAGUGUUUCACUACUCUGGAACACAGGUCUCGUUGAUGGGAAUGAUGUCACUCAGAGUCCCACAAUACUCUAUGAACAGAAAGACGAUGAUGCUAAGAUCAACUGCAGUCAUAAUAUGGGAUUUAGCUACAACCAAAUGUACUGGUACAGACAACUACCAGGAGAGGGAAUGAAACAGGUAUUAUAUAUUACUACCAAUAACAAACCAGAGUAUUCAGGGGGAUUCAGUGAAGACAAAUUCUCCGCCACCAAGACUGUAGCUGAGAGUGGAUCCUUCACAGUGAAGAAGUUGGAGACAGGAGACAGUGGAAUGUACUUCUGUGCUGACUGUCACAAACAGACCAAGUCCAGCAGACUCCUACUGCAAUAUUAAAACAACCUGGAGAUGAAGUACUGCUGACCUGCAACCAUACAAUUAAAGACUAUUACAUGAUUCUGUGGUACCAGCAGUCAGAACAAAAC
Non-coding RNA from Esox lucius (northern pike), 517 nucleotides. The record is from the annotation of a RefSeq genome assembly. NCBI's taxonomy places the organism in Eukaryota, Metazoa, Chordata, Actinopteri, Esociformes, Esocidae.